CCCUUAGAUGUUCUGGGCUGCACGCGCGCUACACUGAAGCUAUCAACACGUUUUCCCUCCCUGAGAAGGGCGGGUAACCUUUUGAAUCAGCUUCGUGGUAGGGAUCGGGGCUUGCAAUUGUUCCCCGUGAACCAGGAAUUCCUAGUAGACGCGAGUCAUAAGCUCGCAUCGACUAAGUCCCUGCCCUUUGUACACACCGCCCGUCGCUACUACCGAUUGAACGUUUUAGUGAGGCAUUUGGACCGACGCAUCUCAGUUUAACCGCUGGUUUGUGUUGGAAAGACUUCCAAACUUGAGCGUUUAGAGGAAGUAAAAGUCGUAACA
RNAcentral lists this ribosomal RNA (324 nucleotides) under uncultured eukaryote. RNAcentral describes it as "partial 18S ribosomal RNA". It matches the Rfam family "Eukaryotic small subunit ribosomal RNA", at positions 1470 to 1796 of the family's 1831-position model. The record is from RNAcentral.